GGACUACAGGGGUUUCUAAUCCUGUUCGCUCCCCUAGCUUUCGCGCCUCAGCGUCAGAUGCCAGCCAGGACACUGCCUUCGCCUUUGGUAUUCCUCCGGAUAUCUACGCAUUUCACCACUCCACCCGGAAUUCUAUGUCCCUCUCUGGCCCUCAAGUCACGCAGUUUUCAGAGGCCUUAUCCAGUUGAGCCGGAUACUGUCACUCCAAACUUACGUCACCGCCUGCACGCCCUUUACGCCCAGUAACUCCGGACAACGCUCGCCCCCUACGUAUUACCGCGGCUGCUGGCAC
This 292-nucleotide ribosomal RNA is filed under the name uncultured bacterium. RNAcentral's name for it is "partial 16S ribosomal RNA". The record is from RNAcentral.